CGCGUAGGUAACCUGCCUUGUAGCGGGGGAUAACUAUUGGAAACGAUAGCUAAUAACGCAUAACAAUGGAUGACACAUGUCAUUUAUUUGAAAGGGGCAAUUGCUCCACUACAAGAUGGACCUGCGUUGUAUUAGCUAGUAGGUGAGGUAACGGCUCACCUAGGCGACGAUACAUAGCCGACCUGAGAGGGUGAUCGGCCACACUGGGACUGAGACACGGCCCAG
Molecule: ribosomal RNA, 225 nt
Filed under: uncultured bacterium
Lineage: Bacteria
Description: partial 16S ribosomal RNA
Rfam family: Bacterial small subunit ribosomal RNA
Source: RNAcentral